Molecule: ribosomal RNA, 2918 nt
Filed under: Aeromonas veronii
Lineage: Bacteria; Pseudomonadati; Pseudomonadota; Gammaproteobacteria; Aeromonadales; Aeromonadaceae
Also listed under: 1 other name
Description: bacterial LSU rRNA
Rfam family: Bacterial large subunit ribosomal RNA
Source: RNAcentral
GUUGUAUGGUUAAGUGACUAAGCGUACAUGGUGGAUGCCUUGGCAGUCAGAGGCGAUGAAGGACGUACUAACCUGCGAUAAGCUGUGAGAAGUCGGUAAGAGACGCUAUUACUCACAGAUUUCCGAAUGGGGAAACCCACCCGAGAUAACUCGGGUAUCUGUUACUGAAUACAUAGGUAACAGAGGCGAACCGGGAGAACUGAAACAUCUAAGUACCCCGAGGAAAAGAAAUCAACCGAGAUUCCCUCAGUAGCGGCGAGCGAACGGGGAUUAGCCCUUAAGCAUCUUGGAAGUUAGUGGAACGGUCCUGGAAAGGCCGGCGAUACAGGGUGAUAGCCCCGUACACGAAAACAACCUUGAUGUGAAAUCGAGUAGGGCGGGACACGUGACAUCCUGUCUGAAUAUGGGGGGACCAUCCUCCAAGGCUAAAUACUCCUGACUGACCGAUAGUGAACCAGUACCGUGAGGGAAAGGCGAAAAGAACCCCUGUGAGGGGAGUGAAAUAGAACCUGAAACCGUGUACGUACAAGCAGUGGGAGCCCUUCGGGGUGACUGCGUACCUUUUGUAUAAUGGGUCAGCGACUUACAUUUUGUAGCGAGGUUAACCGUAUAGGGGAGCCGUAGGGAAACCGAGUCUUAACUGGGCGUCUAGUUGCAAGGUGUAGACCCGAAACCGGGUGAUCUAGCCAUGGGCAGGUUGAAGGUUGAGUAACAUCAACUGGAGGACCGAACCCACUAACGUUGCAAAGUUAGGGGAUGACCUGUGGCUGGGGGUGAAAGGCCAAUCAAACUCGGAGAUAGCUGGUUCUCCCCGAAAGCUAUUUAGGUAGCGCCUCGGACGAAUACUACUGGGGGUAGAGCACUGUUUGGGCUAGGGGGUCAUCCCGACUUACCAACCCCAUGCAAACUCCGAAUACCAGUAAGUAAUAUCCGGGAGACACACGGCGGGUGCUAACGUCCGUCGUGAAGAGGGAAACAACCCAGACCGCCGGCUAAGGUCCCAAAGUUCUGGUUAAGUGGGAAACGAUGUGGGAAGGCUCAGACAGCUAGGAUGUUGGCUUAGAAGCAGCCAUCAUUUAAAGAAAGCGUAAUAGCUCACUAGUCGAGUCGGCCUGCGCGGAAGAUGUAACGGGGCUCAAACCAGGCACCGAAGCCGCGGAUUCACACUUAUGUGUGAGUGGUAGGGGAGCGUUCUGUAAGUCUGCGAAGGUGUAUCGAGAGGUAUGCUGGAGAUAUCAGAAGUGCGAAUGCUGACGUAAGUAACGAUAAAGGGGGUGAAAAGCCUCCUCGCCGGAAGACCAAGGGUUCCUGUCCAACGUUAAUCGGGGCAGGGUGAGUCGACCCCUAAGGCGAGGCCGAAAGGCGUAGUCGAUGGGAAGCAGGUUAAUAUUCCUGCACGACUUGUAAUUGCGAUGGGGGGACGGAGAAGGCUAGGUGGGCCAGGCGACGGUUGUCCUGGUGAAAGUGCGUAGGUGGUGUUUCUAGGCAAAUCCGGAGACACAACACUGAGACACGAGACGAACACACUACGGUGUGGAAGCCAUUGAUGCCCUGCUUCCAGGAAAAGCCUCUAAGCUUCAGAUUACAAGUCAUCGUACCCCAAACCGACACAGGUGGUCGGGUAGAGAAUACCAAGGCGCUUGAGAGAACUCGGGUGAAGGAACUAGGCAAAAUAGAACCGUAACUUCGGGAGAAGGUUCGCUCUUGACAGUGAAGUCCCUUGCGGAUGGAGCAGUUGGGAGUCGCAGUGACCAGAUGGCUGGGACUGUUUAUCAAAAACACAGCACUCUGCAAACACGAAAGUGGACGUAUAGGGUGUGACACCUGCCCGGUGCCGGAAGGUUAAUUGAUGGGGUUAGCGCAAGCGAAGCUCUUGAUCGAAGCCCCGGUAAACGGCGGCCGUAACUAUAACGGUCCUAAGGUAGCGAAAUUCCUUGUCGGGUAAGUUCCGACCUGCACGAAUGGUGUAACCAUGGCCAUGCUGUCUCCACCCGAGACUCAGUGAAAUCGAAUUCGCCGUGAAGAUGCGGUGUACCCGCGGCUAGACGGAAAGACCCCGUGAACCUUUACUACAGCUUGGCACUGAACAUUGAACCUACAUGUGUAGGAUAGGUGGGAGGCUUUGAAGGCGUGACGCCAGUUGCGCUGGAGCCGUCCUUGAAAUACCACCCUUGUAUGUUUGAUGUUCUAACGCAGGGCCCUGAAUCGGGCUCGCGGACAGUGCCUGGUGGGUAGUUUGACUGGGGCGGUCUCCUCCCAAAGAGUAACGGAGGAGCACGAAGGUUGGCUAAUCCUGGUCGGACAUCAGGAGGUUAGUGCAAUGGCAUAAGCCAGCUUAACUGCGAGACGGACAGGUCGAGCAGGUACGAAAGUAGGUCAUAGUGAUCCGGUGGUUCUGAAUGGAAGGGCCAUCGCUCAACGGAUAAAAGGUACUCCGGGGAUAACAGGCUGAUACCGCCCAAGAGUUCAUAUCGACGGCGGUGUUUGGCACCUCGAUGUCGGCUCAUCACAUCCUGGGGCUGAAGUCGGUCCCAAGGGUAUGGCUGUUCGCCAUUUAAAGUGGUACGCGAGCUGGGUUCAGAACGUCGUGAGACAGUUCGGUCCCUAUCUGCCGUGGGCGUUGGAUGAUUGAAGGGAGUUGCUCCUAGUACGAGAGGACCGGAGUGAACGAACCUCUGGUGUUCGGGUUGUCACGCCAGUGGCACUGCCCGGUAGCUAAGUUCGGAAUCGAUAACCGCUGAAAGCAUCUAAGCGGGAAGCGAGCCCUGAGAUGAGUCAUCCCUGACCCCUUGAGGGUCCUAAAGGGCCGUUGGAGACCACAACGUUGAUAGGUGGGGUGUGUAAGCGCGGCGACGUGUUGAGCUAACCCAUACUAAUUACCCGUGAGGCUUAACCAUACAACACCCAAGAAGUGUUCU